UUUAAUUGAAGAGUUUGAUCAUGGCUCAGAUUGAACGCUGGCGGCAGGCUUAACACAUGCAAGUCGAGCGGAAACGAGGAGUACUUGUACUUCGGCGUCGAGCGGCGGACGGGUGAGUAAUGCUUGGGAAUAUGCCUUGAGGUGGGGGACAACAGUUGGAAACGACUGCUAAUA
This 174-nucleotide ribosomal RNA is filed under the name Thalassotalea algicola. RNAcentral describes it as "Thalassotalea sp. M1531 partial 16S ribosomal RNA". It matches the Rfam family "Bacterial small subunit ribosomal RNA", at positions 1 to 168 of the family's 1533-position model. Lineage: Bacteria; Pseudomonadati; Pseudomonadota; Gammaproteobacteria; Alteromonadales; Colwelliaceae. The record is from RNAcentral.